GAUGAACGCUAGCGGCGUGCCUAAUGCAUGCAAGUCGAACGGGAUCCUUUGGAUUAGUCUAAAGGUGAGAGUGGCGAACGGGUGAGUAACACGUUGGUGACCUGCCCCAGAGGGGGGGAUAACCAUUGGAAACGAUGGCUAAUACCCCGGAUGUCCCUACUGUUAGAGAGUAGUGACUAAAGCUCCGGCGCUCUGGGAGGGGCCUGCGGCCCAUCAGCUAGUUGGUAGGGUAACGGCCUACCAAGGCAAAGACGGGUAGGGGGCGUGAGAGCGUGACCCCCCACACUGGUACUGACACACGGACCAGAUACCUACGGGUAGCAGCAGCAAGGAAUAUUGCCCAAUGGACGCAAGUCUGAGGCAGCAACGCCGCGUGGAGGAUGAAGGCCUUCGGGUUGUAAACUCCUUUUCUGGGGGAAGAGAUAGGACGGUACCCCAGGAAUAAGUCUCGGCUAACUACGUG
RNAcentral lists this ribosomal RNA (463 nucleotides) under uncultured bacterium. RNAcentral describes it as "bacterial SSU rRNA". It matches the Rfam family "Bacterial small subunit ribosomal RNA", at positions 28 to 507 of the family's 1533-position model. The record is from RNAcentral.